GACGAACGCUGGCGGCGUGCCUAAUACAUGCAAGUAGGACGCAGUUGCGAACGGGUGAGUAACGCGUAGGUAACUGCCCAUUAGAGGGGGGUAAAUAUUGGAAACGAUAGCUAAUACCGCAUACUAGUAGAUGGACCUGCGUUGGAUUAGCUAGUAGGUAGGGUAAUGGCCUACCUAGGCAACGAUACAUAGACGACCUGAUAGGGUGAUCUGCCACACUGGGACUGAUACACGGCCCAGACUCCUACGGGAGGCAGCAGUAGGGAAUCUUCGGCAAUGGGGGGAACCCUGACCGAGCAACGCCGCGUGAGUGAAGAAGGUUUUCGGAUCGUAAAGCUCUGUUGUUAAGGAAGCGGUACUUAACCAGAAAGGGACGGCUAACUACGUGCCAGCAGCCGCGGUAAUUC
This 407-nucleotide ribosomal RNA is filed under the name uncultured bacterium. RNAcentral's name for it is "partial 16S ribosomal RNA". It matches the Rfam family "Bacterial small subunit ribosomal RNA", at positions 28 to 526 of the family's 1533-position model. The record is from RNAcentral.